Molecule: ribosomal RNA, 433 nt
Filed under: uncultured bacterium
Lineage: Bacteria
Description: bacterial SSU rRNA
Rfam family: Bacterial small subunit ribosomal RNA
Source: RNAcentral
UACGGGAGGCAGCAGUGGGGAAUAUUGCACAAUGGGCGCAAGCCUGAUGCAGCCAUGCCGCGUGUAUGAAGAAGGCCUUCGGGUUGUAAAGUACUUUCAGUCGUGAGGAAGGUGUUAAGGUUAAUAACCUUAGCAAUUGACGUUAGCGACAGAAGAAGCACCGGCUAACUCCGUGCCAGCAGCCGCGGUAAUACGGAGGGUGCGAGCGUUAAUCGGAAUUACUGGGCGUAAAGGGCACGCAGGCGGUUAAUUAAGUUGGAUGUGAAAUCCCCGGGCUUAACCUGGGAAUGGCAUUCAAGACUGGUUAGCUAGAGUCUUGUAGAGGGGGUAGAAUUCCAUGUGUAGCGGUGAAAUGCGUAGAGAUGUGGAGGAAUACCGGUGGCGAAGGCGGCCCCUGGACAAAGCCUGACGCUCAUGUGCGAAAGCGUGGGGA